AUUGAGCGCUGGCGGCAGGCCUAACACAUGCAAGUCGAACGGUAACAGGAAGAAGCUUGCUUCUUUGCUGACGAGUGGCGGACGGGUGAGUAAUGUCUGGGAAACUGCCUGAUGGAGGGGGAUAACUACUGGAAACGGUAGCUAAUACCGCAUAACGUCGCAAGACCAAAGAGGGGGACCUUCGGGCCUUUUGCCAUCGGAUGUGCCCAGAUGGGAUUAGCUAGUAGGUGGGGUAACGGCUCACCUAGGCGACGAUCCCUAGCUGGUCUGAGAGGAUGACCAGCCACACUGGAACUGAGACACGGUCCAGACUCCUACGGGAGGCAGCAGUGGGGAAUAUUGCACAAUGGGCGCAAGCCUGAUGCAGCCAUGCCGCGUGUAUGAAGAAGGCCUUCGGGUUGUAAAGUACUUUCAGCGGGGAGGAAGGGAGUAAAGUUAAUACCUUUGCUCAUUGACGUUACCCGCAGAAGAAGCACCGGCUAACUCCGUG
This 490-nucleotide ribosomal RNA is filed under the name uncultured bacterium. Its description in RNAcentral is "partial 16S ribosomal RNA". It matches the Rfam family "Bacterial small subunit ribosomal RNA", at positions 30 to 507 of the family's 1533-position model. The record is from RNAcentral.